This 468-nucleotide ribosomal RNA is filed under the name uncultured bacterium. Its description in RNAcentral is "partial 16S ribosomal RNA". It matches the Rfam family "Bacterial small subunit ribosomal RNA", at positions 28 to 507 of the family's 1533-position model. The record is from RNAcentral.
GACGAACGCUGGCGGCGUGCUUAACACAUGCAAGUCGAACGGAAAGGCCCUGCUUUUGUGGGGUGCUCGAGUGGCGAACGGGUGAGUAACACGUGAGUAACCUGCCCUUGACUUUGGGAUAACUUCAGGAAACUGGGGCUAAUACCGGAUAGGAGCUCCUGCUGCAUGGUGGGGGUUGGAAAGUUUCGGCGGUUGGGGAUGGACUCGCGGCUUAUCAGCUUGUUGGUGGGGUAGUGGCUUACCAAGGCUUUGACGGGUAGCCGGCCUGCGAGGGUGAACGGCCACAUUGGGACUGAGAUACGGCCCAGACUCCUACGGGAGGCAGCAGUGGGGAAUAUUGCACAAUGGGCGGAAGCCUGAUGCAGCAACGCCGCGUGCGGGAUGACGGCCUUCGGGUUGUAAACCGCUUUCGCCUGUGACGAAGCGUGAGUGACGGUAAUGGGUAAAGAAGCACCGGCUAACUACGUG